GGAAGGGAGAUGGGGGGUGCCAGUUGCCCCUGGCUUCCAGGUGGCCAGAAUCAAUGGCUUAGCUCACACGUCUGGCCCCGGGCCCAGCCCUGGCUGCCUCCCUACUAUUCUUAGCAGCGAUGAUGACACACCUGUCAUCGGGAGCUGUCCCCUCCCUUCCCUGGGCGGGCGGUUUCCAGACCCUGCUCACCUCCCUCGGCAAGCAGAGAGGAGUAGCCCAGCUGGUGGAGCCAGGAUGUGGCUGCCCAGCCUGGGAUCUUGGGAACAUCUUUGGAGCCUCAGCCCCAACCUGCUGCUGUCCAGACGUGUCACUCAGACUGGGGUGGCUUUCCACGUCACGGACGCGCUCGACAUGGGGCAUCCUCUGCCCUGCCAGCCACCCGCAUCGGGCCCCUGCUCUUGCCAAGACGCAGUUAAAGUGCACUUCUGGGGGCUCUGACAGAGAGUUCCACACUUACCCUGCCUCUGCUUUCUGUGGCCCCAACUAAGUCAUCCAUCCUGCCCCACCCCGGAAGUCCCUCUUUGUCCUGCCCUGGAGGUGUUCAGUGGGUAUUUAAUGGUGCUGGCAAGCACAAACCUGAGUCUGUACUGUGACAAAAUAUCCCAGACCCUGGCAUUUCCUUCGAGGAGCUGAGAACUUAGUGCACACACAAACCUGUGCUCGAGUGGAUUUAUCCAGAAUCUCUGAAACUCAGACACACUGAGAGGCCCUUCAGUAACAGAUGGGUGAACAAACAGAAGGGGCAUCAGCGUCACUGAAUUAUUCACUGAUAAAAAGAAGAGAACUUACCAAGGUGUGAAAAGAUGUGGAGGAAGGCUGCGGUGUAGCUCAGUGGCAGUGUUUUCCUAGCAUGUGUGAGGCUUUGGGUUCAAUUCCCAGGAUCACCAAAUAAACAAAUAAAUAACCAACUAAGAGACAUGAGAAACCCCAUGUGCAUUUUUUUUCCAUGCUGGGAGAUUUAACUUAGGGCCUUUGCACUGAGCUACACCCCCCAGCCCUUUUUUAUUUUAUUUUGAAAGAGGGUCUCACCGAG
RNAcentral lists this long non-coding RNA (1034 nucleotides) under Fukomys damarensis (Damara mole-rat). Its description in RNAcentral is "lncRNA (ENSFDAG00000032321.1)". Lineage: Eukaryota; Metazoa; Chordata; Mammalia; Rodentia; Bathyergidae. The record is from RNAcentral.